Molecule: small RNA, 552 nt
Filed under: Pongo abelii (Sumatran orangutan)
Lineage: Eukaryota; Metazoa; Chordata; Mammalia; Primates; Hominidae
Description: retained intron
Source: RNAcentral
UGUGACCUCCGCAGUCGCAGAGGAGGAGCGCAGCCCGGCCUCGAAGAACUUCUGCUUGGGUGGCUGAACUCUGAUCUUGACCUAGAGUCAUGGCCAUGGCAACCAAAGGAGGUACUGUCAAAGCUGCUUCAGGAUUCAAUGCCGUGGAAGAUGCCCAGACCCUGAGGAAGGCCAUGAAAGGGCUCGGCACCGAUGAAGAUGCCAUUAUUAGCAUCCUUGCCUACCGCAACACCGCCCAGCGCCAGGAGAUCAGGACAGCCUACAAGAGCACCAUCGGCAGGGACUUGAUAGACGACCUGAAGUCAGAACUGAGUGGCAACUUCGAGCAGGGAGCCGGCACUGAUGAGGGCUGCCUAAUUGAGAUCCUGGCCUCCCGGACCCCUGAGGAGAUCCGGCGCAUAAGCCAAACCUACCAGCAGCAAUAUGGACGGAGCCUUGAAGAUGACAUUCGCUCUGACACAUCGUUCAUGUUCCAGCGAGUGCUGGUGUCUCUGUCAGCUGUGAGUGACUGCUUCUGAUGGGGGGCGGGUUUUAUCGAAAUGUCCACUCUAU